CGACUCUCGGCAAUGGAUAUCUCGGCUCACGCAUCGAUGAAGAGCGCAGCGAAAUGCGAUACGUGGUGCGAAUUGCAGAAUCCCGUGAACCAUCGAGUCUUUGAACGCAAGUUGCGCCCGAGGCCAACCGGCCAAGGGCACGUCUUCCUGGGCGUCAAGCGUUA
This 164-nucleotide ribosomal RNA is filed under the name Dendrobium thyrsiflorum. Its description in RNAcentral is "5.8S ribosomal RNA". It matches the Rfam family "5.8S ribosomal RNA". From Rfam's summary of the family: 5.8S ribosomal RNA (5.8S rRNA) is a component of the large subunit of the eukaryotic ribosome. It is transcribed by RNA polymerase I as part of the 45S precursor that also contains 18S and 28S rRNA. The record is from RNAcentral. Lineage: Eukaryota; Viridiplantae; Streptophyta; Magnoliopsida; Asparagales; Orchidaceae.